AUGCAUCAUAUAAUAACAGAAUCGAGCCAUCAUAAAAUGUGGGGAAACGUUUUGUAUGUCUCUACCUGUGUAGCUGCGCUGUGCUGGGGAUGUGCUUUGUCCCACACGGAUGGCAAAGACAGCAUGACCCAGCUCCUCACUCUCCCUGGCCGCCCCGUCACCAUGCCUUGCGCAUACCGCUACGAGGACCACGGGGAAGUGCCCCAGCUGUCCGUCCAGUGGCGGGGCCCCCCGGGGAGGGGGCUGCUGUGUCAUUACAUCAAGCACAAGGCCUUCCAGAACUGCACCCCGGGCUACAGCCUCUCGUACCGCCCGGCCAGCAUCCUGCUCACCAUCCAGCAGGUCCAAGCGUGGGACUACGGCACACACGUGUGCUCGGUCAGCAAGCGCCACGACGUGUCGGAUAACAGCGUCCACCUGGCCAUGAGGACGGAGGGGGUCAAUGAAGGACAAAGCAGCGGCCGGCCCCUCCCAGGUCCUACCCAGGGACUGGCUUUCCUCCCUGCCUUGUGGUGGAUUAUGUGUACGUAAAUGGACAGAUGGCCGAUGAGAUGGGCAACCUAUUGGAAGCUAGCUGGGAAGAGACCAUUUCAUUAUGCACCACUAAAACCUGUAUAUUUAACAUAGAAUGAUAGGAAUAAAAGUCUGUGUGGCAUUCUGUUUUGUUUGUUGUUCCAUUGAGGGAUCAGGAUUCUUAAAGGAUCGGGAUUUAGGUUUAAGACAAAAACUGAGGUUGAUGAGUAACUAUUGAGUACACAACCAUUCAUUAGGGCAUGCUGUGGCUAUGGGCUAUACUCAGCUAGAAACACUGCAUUUAACCAUAGUUCUUUUUAAAGAUAAUAUAGCUGAACAACUGACCCAUUUGAACUUAUGGCUAAGACGACGGAGAUGAUGAAAUGUAGGUGAAUAAAUCAGCAACUAUAUCAGAAAUCCUCUCUUCUUUGUGUUCUUUUAUCCAAAGCACCUCAGGUCAUUUUAAGGAGCAUAUAUGGACAAUUGUUAAAGGUACGCUGUGUACAAAGUGG
This 1025-nucleotide long non-coding RNA is filed under the name Gadus morhua (Atlantic cod). RNAcentral's name for it is "lncRNA (ENSGMOG00000036525.1)". Lineage: Eukaryota; Metazoa; Chordata; Actinopteri; Gadiformes; Gadidae. The record is from RNAcentral.